RNAcentral lists this ribosomal RNA (465 nucleotides) under uncultured bacterium. Its description in RNAcentral is "SSU rRNA". It matches the Rfam family "Bacterial small subunit ribosomal RNA", at positions 26 to 518 of the family's 1533-position model. The record is from RNAcentral.
AGGAUUAACGCUGGCGGCGUGCCUAACACAUGCAAGUCGAACGAGGUAGCAAUACCUAGUGGCAGACGGGUGAGUAACGCGUGGUCAACCUACCGUUGAGUGGGGGAUAACUAGCCGAAAGGUUAGCUAAUACCGCAUACGUCUCCGAGGGGCAUCCCUUGGCGAUAAAAGGAGCAAUCCGCUCGAUGACGGGACCGCGUCCCAUUAGCUAGAUGGUGGGGUAACGGCCUACCAUGGCACCGAUGGGUAGCUGGUUUGAGAGAGCGACCAGCCACACUGGGACUGAGAAACGGCCCAGACUCCUACGGGAGGCAGCAGUGAGGAAUUUUCCGCAAUGGGCGCAAGCCUGACGGAGCGACGCCGCGUGUGGGAAGAAGGCCUUCGGGUCGUAAACCACUGUCGAAGGGGACGAUAAUGACGGUACCCUUGGAGGAAGCCCCGGCUAACUACGUGCCAGCAGGCCGC